Molecule: long non-coding RNA, 3476 nt
Organism: Ochotona curzoniae (black-lipped pika)
Lineage: Eukaryota; Metazoa; Chordata; Mammalia; Lagomorpha; Ochotonidae
Exons: 4
Source: RefSeq, a predicted model, not a curated record
UCCCAGGUAUCUAGAACAGCCAGGGCUGGAUUGGACUGAAACCAUGGGCCAGGAACUCAGCCUGUGUUUCCUGUAUGGAGGGAAGAUACCCACACCCCUGAACCAUCACCAUCCUCCUUCCAGGUGCAGCAGGGAGCAAAGGUGCGGCUCCAGCCCAGGCGCCUCAGUGUGACACAGCCAUCCUGAGCAGCAGCUUCACUCACGGCACCACAAGGCCCAGCCAACAGUGUUUAUGGUCAUUCAAUAUUGUACCAUUUCAAGGCGUGGGCUUGUUCCAUUUUCUUUACUAAACAGAAUAAUUUCUGAAUAAAGCAUGAUCUCAACAAUCAGUUGUCAGACUGACAAGAAGGUAGAACAUUCAACUCCUGUUUAGUAGAAAUAAUAUUCUCUGCAUAUUUACUAACACCUCCAAGAAUUUGAACAUUGUACUGCAGAAUCACUUGAAAGUGUUUGAUGAAAGUGCAGAAAUUAAUUCUCGUGAAUAUGGAAAUCUCCAUUUAAAAUUCAACUCCCAUAUAAUUCAGGUGCAAGUAUCUUUGGUGGACACUUUGCAAAUUAGUAGAUAUGAACUGUCAUCUUCUACUAGUGGAUUGGCUGGCCAUUGGGGCUGCAUGGAGAUCAGUAAAAGUGCAAUGACGAAGGUCUCUGUGAAGACUGAUUUUAGCAAGCACUUUGCAAUUUUACCUAAAGGGAGUAAUCCAUGUUGGUCUCUAGGCAUGAAGCGUAAUGAUCUGUUUUAUUAUCGUUAAUUUAUGCUCAAACUUCCCUUUGCUCUUCUUUUUAACCCACAUAGCAAUUAUGCAGGCUAACUCUUGCCUCAGGGAGAUGCUGCGGUAGGACUAAUUAAAUAUUAAUAUUUAAAGGACUUAGACAACCUUGUAAGUAAUAUGUUAAGAGGAGAUAAAAUCAUGAUGACCCCUUUAGUGGCAGGAAUGUUAAUGAAGCACUGGGAUCGCGCUUCCGUUUAAUGCCCAUGUCCUGCCUCUAAUGAGGGGCAGGCAGCAUAAUGUUGGAAUGAAGGACAAGGGUAACCUAUGGCUGUUCUUCUACCUCCUGGUAUGGAGGCCUAGAGCCAAGUUUCUAGUAUUUGUAAGUUGAUCUAAUUUUUCUUUCCUAGACCAGAGGGAUAAAAUCCCACCUCUGCUUUUGGAUUGUCAGGAUGGCAUGUGUGCCCAUAAAGGAUGGCAUUGUGUGCCCAUAAAGGACUGUGAUUUUUGUUAAUAUGAAUGAAUUUCAUGGGCCAUGAAUUUUUCUGAGUUUGAGACUUGUAGAUUUUUCCUUUUAUCCUAGACCUGUGUCUAGGUGAGUAGAGAUGGAUAUGCUCUGUUAGAACUAAUCUUAAAUUUAGAAAGAAGAAGGAGAAAUGGAAGGAAGACAAGGAGAAUGUAAUGGUUAAUUUCAGAUGUCAGCUUGAGUGGAGACAGGAACGGCAGGAUAUCUGGGAAAACAUCAUGCCUGUGUUUGUCUGGGGGAUGUUUCGAGGUUGGCCUGUUAGUCUGAGUGGGCUCAGAGGGCAGCCUCCAUUCUCCAUGUGGGCAGCACCGUUCAGUUGAACAAAGUAGCAGAAGGUAAAUUGUUGCUCCUGUAGCUGGAUCUCGCUUGUCUUCUGCCCUUAGCUACCAGAAACUCCAGACUCUGGUCUUUUCAGGGCUUACUAGUCCCUUUCCUACCCUCCAAGUUCUCGGUCCUUUGGACUUGGACUGAACCAUACCAUUGCCAUCUUAGACUCUCUCACUUGCAAAGUACUGUGGGAUUUUUAGCAACCAUGAUCCCUUUUACGCCCUCCCUCCCUUGCUUCCUUUCUUCCCUCUUCUCUGUUUUUCCCUUCCUUCCAGUGUAUCUCUUCAGAGAAUGCCGAUUAAUACAGAGUAGGACAAAACACCUUUCAACUCAGUCCCAGACUGCAGUUGGAGCAGGGAAAGCAGUCUGUUGGCAGAAGAUGAGGGCUCACUGUGUCUGUGCCUUAUCACUGUCAAAACGACAUGCCCCUCCAGUGUGGAAGAACCACAGGAAUGUUUAGGAAGCCCUGGCUUAGAGAUGACGUAGGAACUGCGUUUGUUUCCUAAAUUAGAGGACGAUGAAUUUGAAUUAGAAAUUUUUCUCAUUUCUUAAAAUUGUGUUUUAUUUUCCCCAAAUUCAUAAAGAAAAAGGAACUGGACUAAAUGAAAUUUGCAAUUCUUUUUUGCAAGUGAAAUAAAAAUUCAAUGGAAAACCACUUUAAAUACAUCAACAGUAACAUCUGAGAUGUUUCUGAAAAUUCAUCCACUUAUUGACCAAAUGCUUUUUGGCGAUUACUCAUUAACAACUAGAGAUAUUUAAUGAACUGUUUUUCUAGUGGAGUGUCUGUGAAAUUUGGUGGUAUUUUUUGUAUUUUGAUACAGACUUAGAGCCCAGCGAUGUUGUGCCAAGUCCGCUAGCCUUCUAAUUAGCUGUAUCGAAUAAAUAACAGAAGCGAUACGCCCGUGCUGCACAGCCACUAUAUGAUUGCUCUUGUGUGUUAGACUGCUCAUUAAUCUUAAAAAUGAUAAAUGAUUAUGUUCUGUGAAGCGUCCGAGGAAACAGAAUAAUUCUGAUAGAAUUAUGUGAUCUUCAAGCUUGUACCUACAGGAGCUAGGUGGUGCUGGAAACAUGAUUCCAAGUAAAUGCACAUUUUGGGACGUGUUGUUGACCCAUGUGUAGAUAUCUGAAACCUUGCAGAUCGGCUGUGACGAACUCUUCCUGCUCAUGUGGACACUGGUGAGGCAGCAGUGAUGGCCCAAGUCACUGGGCACUGCCACCCGGUGCUGAGCUGGUGAGUUCUGGCUGUUUCAGUCCAGCCCUAGCUUUGUGAGCAUUCCAGAAGUGAACCAGUGACUUAUUGGAAACUCUCUCUCAAAUAAUUUUAAAAACAUAUUUAAAAGUUCUCAUUACCCAUUUUCUCUAGUCUUCUAGAUUUGUGUGUGUAAGAGGUAGAGCUAGCACUGCUUCAGCAGAACUCUUUUGAAUUUUCUCAUUAUCUGCACGCUAAGUGUCAUUGAAACACAGCCCUGCGGGUCAGGACAGCUGUUUUCUGCGACCUGUGUUCUGACUUGGCAAUUAUGGAUGAGCCACCUACGGAUAAGUGUUGUGACUUCUCUCUUAUUCCACUUCCUGAUGUGCCAGAGAGGCUUCUGCAGGAGAGAAUGUCAGACACUUCCAGCCCUCGGGGGCGGGAUUCUAUCAUUUCUGAUCACACGCUCUGUGUUCUGUCUGUUGUUCUCCUCGUCCCUUCUUGCUUGUGAGGCUAGAAACUUUUCUUGGAACAAAACAUAAUACCUUGCUUUUUAUAGAGCUUAUACUGUGGGUGAAGAUAAGGAGAAGCCAAAUAAACCUAUGGUAUUAAUGAAAAUAAGGAUAGAUCAUGGUUUGCUAUGAACUGCUAAUCAUAUGAUCUAAGAGAACAAAGUUGACUGCUAUUAGUCUCCUGCUUGAUUUGCAGAAUAGCUGUUAAAAAAAUC